GAGGAACAUUUUCAGCCUCUACAGAGGAAACAAUGAGUUCAACACAACAGGACCAACAUGGACUGAGAAGUCAGCGCUCUCAGGAGGCUGACAAAUCUCACAGAAGGAAAAAAGAAAAAAACUACACAUGUGAUCUGUGUGGGAGGAAUUUUACUAGGACGAUUUCAUUAAAAAGACAUCAAGUCAUCCACACUGGAGAAAAAUCAUUCACCUGUGAGUUGUGUGGAAAGUCUUUUGCCCAGGCUGGAAACUUAAUAAGACACCAACUCAUCCACAGUGGAGAGAAAUCAUACAGGUGUGAUCAGUGUGGCAGAGCUUUUAAUCACAGUAGCAGCUUACAGAGGCAUCAAGUUACCCACUCUGGAAUUAAGGCAUACAGCUGUGACUAUUGUGGAAAAACUUUCAGUCUGCUAGGGAGCAGAAAUAUACACCUGCGCAUUCACACUGGACACGAUGUGUACUGCUGUGAUCAGUGUGGCAAAAAGUUUGGAACAAAUGCACAGUUAAAAUCCCACAUGGUUACCCACACUGAGGAGAGACCUUAUCAAUGUGACCUGUGUGAUAAGACGUUCAAAGCUCCACGUUCCCUGAAAGCACACCAAGAGAUCCACAGCAGAAAGAGACUCUACGAGUACAGUUACUGUGAGGACCAACAUGGACCGAGAAGUCAGUGCUCUCAGGAGGCUGACAAACCUCACAGAAGGAAGGGAGAAAAAAAAUACACCUGUGAUCUAUGUGGGAGGGAUUUUACCUGGAAGAUUUCAUUAAAAAGGCAUCAAGUCAUCCACACUGGAGAAAAAUCAUUCAGCUGUGAGUUGUGUGGAAAGUCGUUUGCCCAGGCUGGAAACUUAAUAAGACACCAACUCAUCCACAGUGGAGAGAAAUCAUACAGCUGUGGUCAGUGUGGCAGCGCUUUUAAUCAAAGUAGCAGCUUACAGAGGCAUCAAGUUACCCACUCUGGAAUUAAGGCAUACAGCUGUGACUAUUGUGGAAAAACUUUCAGUCGGCUAGGGCACCGAAAUAUACACCUGCGCAUUCACACUGGACACGAUGUGUACUGCUGUGAUCAGUGUGGCAAAAAGUUUGGAACAAAUGCACAGUUAAAAUCCCACAUGGUUACCCACACUGAGGAGAGACCUUAUCAAUGUGACCUGUGUGAUAAGAAUUUUAAAGUUCCACGUUCCCUGAAAAGGCACCAACAGAUGCACAGCAGAAAGAGACUCUACGAGUGCAGUUACUGUGAGAAGCAGAGCCACACAGAUGGAUCCAGUUCUCAACCCUGUCGUCACUGCGGUGGUGGUAAAGCCUUUCGCUGUGACCUUUGUGGAAAAACCUUCAACUGGCAACGGAGCCUUACGUUGCAUCAGCGUAGACACACUGGACACAAACUGAACUACUGCAAAGAAUGUGGGAGAAGCUUCCCCACAACAAGUAAAUUAAAACUUCAUGAACUCUUCCACAGUGGGGUUAAAAAGCACGUCUGUGACCAGUGUGGGGCAUCCUUCACCACUGCAGGCCACCUUAAAGCACACAAACGAGUCCACACAGGAGAGAAACCAUACAAGUGCAGACACUGUGACAAAAGCUUCUCACAAUCAAGUAAUCGUAACCUUCAUGAAAGUAGACACAUUGGAGGGAACUACAGCUGUGACCAGUGUGACAAGAGCUUCAGGAAUCUCACUUCAUACGUCAAACAUAAACGAUCCCACGCUGCAAAGAAACUGUUUCACUGUUACCAAUGUGCAAAAACAUUCACUUCAUUAUCUGCUCUGUCCAAACAUCAGCAUGAUCAUGCAGGGCUGAAAUCAUUCCCAUCCCUGGGUCACAAUGAAUCUACAAAGACACAAAGAUCCUCUUCUGGUUGCAGGGUUAAACUUAAAAACCUUGAAAUCCGGCUCCACAGAAUUCCGAUUCAAUCUCCGGUAAAGAGUGUCAGCUAAUGUCACACUUGGAUCUGAUGAGGGAGCUCUGAUUUCUGGACUUGCGGUAAAUAAUCCUGAAUCUGACAUUUAGGAAGCUGCAAGUAUAGAUAUAUACAUCAAGGUUUUUAUUUUCCUUUGAGGAAUUUUAAUACUCUGAAAUGUUAUCAAAGGUUUCCCAGUUAAAAUUGAAUCCUUUCAGAAACAGCAGUAUUUAGUAGUAGUAUUUGUAUUAUAAAGUUGUUAUAUCCAACUGAUAUUGCAGCCAAACUUUAUCUUAAUUUUUAAAGGUUGGUGGAGUCCUUGUUUUAUAAGCAGCAGCCAUUGAUAACUAAUAACCUCAUGUCUCAUUAGAAUUAAAUUAUUAACCUAAAUAAUUAGGGGACCCUGUCUAUGGUUAUGAAUUUUAGCAGGUAAUUAAUAUCCAUUUAUACCAGUACAAUAACCAAGUUUGUUUUUAAUUACAAUAAAUUUUUUUUUGUGUAAUUUUAGUUUUAAUCCAGUUUAGUUUGUUCCAAGUGUGGAUUUAUUGUAACGUAGGUUUUUCUUUGUUUCCUUUUCAUUAGUUUGUGUUAGUUUUCUUUGUAUUACAGUAAUAUGUGGAAGUGUUGUCAGGAAGAGGACAGAUUUAGGAAGUACAGAGCACGUAUUACAAUUCAAACACAGCAUCUUUGUGAAUGACUCAGUGAUGUAGAAAUCCAAGUCUCAGACUGCCCACUGAGUUAGCUUUGAAUCUUUUAAUAAUCCUUUUGAUGCUUUUGAUUUUAGUCAUGGAUGGAGACUUAAACAUAAUCAGCAUUUUAACACUGAGCUAAAGAAUGUGGAAAAGAGACUCAUGGAUCAACAGGAUCUGCAGUCAUUCACUCAAAAAUUUCUCCCACCAGCUGAGUCAUAUAUUUCAGUACAUUUCCAGUGAGUCUUAAUAGACACAGCAUGCAGCGAGUGUAUGGAAAGAUGCUGUGGUAAUCCCUGCUCUUAAAUCCAGUUCUCCCAGAACUCUACGUGAUUUCACACCAGCUGCUUUUAAAACCUUCCAACAUGAACUCAAACCAUCACCAGGAUGUGAAACAGCAGCUGCUGUGUCUUUAUGUCCAAAAAAGAUGUAAACUGAAGUUGAACUGAGGCUGAGCUGUACUUCUGUGUAAUACCAGUCUGUACCACAGGAUGGAGCAGUAAGUCAGUGUAACUUUUAUUUAAUCAGGCAAAGAAGUCGUCCUUAUUUCCAGGGGCAGCCUGCAGAAGGUAAAGCCUCUUGAGGAAAUGGGGGUGAGGCAGCAAAGAAGUGCUGACAGGUAAAAACAGCAGCACAUCAGAAACAUCUCAGGAGCUUUUUAAAGUUUGCAGAUGAUCUGUUGUUGUUGCUCAGCUCCAGGACAGUGAGAGCAGCCUUGGCCCAGUCCUCUUUUCUUAAUGCUCCUUAAUGCUCUGUCUGUUACUGCCUUUGAUUUAGCGUGGCAGUCAGUGGCUGAUGUCUCUGUCAGUAAGAAGGCUGUAAUACUGACACUGAUGAACAUGAUGAAGAGCGCCUUGGACCUGUUUCAUUUUUAAGAGCAUAAACACAGAUUUUUAUUUCCCAGCAGCCAGAUGAACAAACGAGUGUUUGUCUUCCAUCAUGUAGGGUGGAUUUGUUCUGCUUUUUUCCUUCACUGUGUUUGAUUCUGUUUCUGUGAUGUUUGCAUUCAGAAGCUCAUCCAUGUGAAAAUGAAAACCUUUCCAAACCAAAUGUACCUGCAGGAGCAAAUAAACUCACCUGAACCUGAAGCCCUCUGAUGUUUAUGUUGGUGAAUGUGACCACACUGACACACAUUUCCUCUCACUUUGUAUUUGUUAGCCAUUAACCAAGGGCCUUAAUAUCUGGCCUUAUUGUAGUAAAUGUAACACAGAGUUCAAGAGAACAAAUGUAUAUGUACACAUGAUUGCACUAAUAAUAAUAAUAAUCUAGUUCCAAAUCAAUGUUGUAUUUAACAGAUAUAAUGUAUGAAUGAGAGCUAAUUCUGUCCUGAUUUUGAAGAACCAACAUGUGGUGGAAGAAAUUGAAAGGAAGUGUGAGUCAAGAAGAUUUAGUCCUUCUUCCUCUGGACUUUGUGCUGAGAAGAUGGAACAGCUGGAAGAUGGGAUUAAGAUUCACAGCUGGAUUAUAAAGCACAGAGUGCAGGAGGAUUAACCAUCUCCAAACAGCUGCAGUCUGACAGCUGGAUUUAUCAGACUUUUCUUCUCUGCUGUAUGGGAUUAUGAACACUGAGGGAAUCAGGACUUUGGACCCUACUUUGGCAUCUGGGUUCCAUCAAAUGUGCCAGAAGAAGAAACAUUGUGCCGGCCUGGCAACAAUUCUCCCUCCUCUCGCUGCAGAAUCAGUGCUAGUAUUUAGCAUCAGCAUACAAUUAUUUUAGUGGUUAAUACUAAUUGAUUCUUCUGAUUUGUUCUAUAAUGUGAUUGAUCUGUAUGUGCUGUUCCUGCCUAGCUUAACCCUUUAACACCCAAGUAUUAUCCAGGCCGCCUGGACUUAUCCUGUCAUUCUGGCUGUGAAAUGAAGGAAAUAAUUGUUGCUUGUUGCUUAGUUCCAUUUCAAAUAACAGGUACCAACAGGUAUGGCGAGCUUGCUGUGAUCAGGCUUGUGAAGUGCAUUUUUUCUUUGUGCUUUGUUUGCACAACAUAAUUUUUGUUAGUAAACUUCAUCACACUUGUUACAAGUUAAAUGUUAAAGCACGUUAGGGAACAAGUUGUAACUCGUUUAACUGAAAGUGUGUGUGAGCAGGCUGGGAUUGGCGUUUUGGCUGCCUCUCCCCACGCUCCCUCGCGAAGCGGGCCUGUGACAGCGGCGGCGGAUCUGGCGUGUAAAUCGACAGCGGCGAAGCUGCGACUGCGGCUGGGAGGUCGGCUAACUAAAUUCCUGCCCUGUCUUUAAUGUCUGUGCAAUUCAGGCAGAAGAAGCACGAGGCACCCUAACAAAGCACAUCCCCGCUUCAAAAUCCAAAGAGCCGGACGAGCGGAAGUGAACUUUCUUCCCAACUUUCCCCAAGAAUAAAACCAGAGCAGUGUGGAAGAAAUGAGACUGCAGAUGAAACAUGAAGUUCAAAAGAGUGACUGAAACCUGAAGUUAAUAGAAAACUUCAUGCAGAUGACCUUUGCCCUCCAUCACCAGAUCAUUCAGGCACAUCCAUUGGUGAAAGACUUCCUGCAGCCGGGCCUUCAGAUCCAAUCACAGGUUUGUGCUGAAGUCCACGGUAUCCCAAAUGUCAGCCUGUGUAACCAGUGUUAUGCUGAUUAUGACAAACGCACACCUAGACUGUCGGCUUUGUAGCGGUACAGAAAAAAGGCAGCACGCACGGGAAAGAUAUCGGGCACACUGCGUGAUGAGAUCCAGCCGGAGAAGACAGAUGCUCAUCAACACUCCUGUUGUGCUUGUAACAGCGGUGAACGUGUGUUGUACAAGUCCAGUUAACAUCACUCCUGCAAGCACUGCAACGGUGGUGGAAAAUGAUCAUGUAAAAAGUGAAAUCCCCAUGUGGACCGAUGCAUUUACAUUGUUGUUUGGAUUGACACGUUCAGGCCCACAGCACUCACCUCUGUGGUGAUGAAGUGUUUUGAAAGACUCAUCAAGACAUUCAUCACCUCCUCACUGCCCACCACCCUCGACCCACUACAGUUCACAU
This is an RNA transcript of Archocentrus centrarchus (flier cichlid), 5572 nucleotides long. It is a transcript of the gene named zinc finger protein 883-like, with no coding region annotated. NCBI's taxonomy places the organism in Eukaryota, Metazoa, Chordata, Actinopteri, Cichliformes, Cichlidae. The transcript has 6 exons. The record is from RefSeq and is a predicted model, not a curated record.